GAUGAACGCUGGCGGCGUGCCUAAUACAUGCAAGUCGAGCGAACGGACGAGAAGCUUGCUUCUCUGAUGUUAGCGGCGGACGGGUGAGUAACACGUGGAUAACCUACCUAUAAGACUGGGAUAACUUCGGGAAACCGGAGCUAAUACCGGAUAAUAUUUUGAACCGCAUGGUUCAAAAGUGAAAGACGGUCUUGCUGUCACUUAUAGAUGGAUCCGCGCUGCAUUAGCUAGUUGGUAAGGUAACGGCUUACCAAGGCAACGAUGCAUAGCCGACCUGAGAGGGUGAUCGGCAACACUGGAACUGAGGCACGGUCCAGACUCCUACGGGAGGCAGCAGUAGGGAAUCUUCCGCAAUGGGCGAAAGCCUGACGGAGCAACGCCGCGUGAGUGAUGAAGGUCUUCGGAUCGUAAAACUCUGUUAUUAGGGAAGAACAUAUGUGUAAGUAACUGUGCACAUCUUGACGGUACCUAAUCAGAAAGCCACGGCUAACUACGUG
RNAcentral lists this ribosomal RNA (497 nucleotides) under uncultured bacterium. RNAcentral describes it as "partial 16S ribosomal RNA". It matches the Rfam family "Bacterial small subunit ribosomal RNA", at positions 28 to 507 of the family's 1533-position model. The record is from RNAcentral.